CAGAAAGUUUUCCAGAACCCAUCAAACUCAUUUGGGCUACUGUGGAAGAAAUCUUUCUCUUUGUCCUGCUUUUCAGGAGAAAAUGCUUCAGGAAGUGCAUUGGCUCAGACAAGAAAAUUGAUGGAUAAUGUGUUACUUGUGAUGUUUGUUUUUCUUGAUGCUUGAAUGGGAAGACAGCAUAUUGUCAGCUUUUUAAAGUCACUCAGCUAAACUUCAGAAGAGUUAGGAGCGCCAAGGAGUAACCAGAUGGAAGACCCCUCUGAAACCAGAGAAUGAUUUUGA
Poecile atricapillus (Black-capped chickadee) is the source of this 282-nucleotide long non-coding RNA. RefSeq lists it as uncharacterized. The transcript has 3 exons. Lineage: Eukaryota; Metazoa; Chordata; Aves; Passeriformes; Paridae. The record is from RefSeq and is a predicted model, not a curated record.